AUCAUUUCAUAUAAUUAACAAAUAUUAAUUCUUAAUUAACAAGUUUACAUAAUUCACAUUUUAAUAUUUUCUAUAUGUUCACUAUUAUUGUCUAUUUUACUAUACUUUUAUAUAUAAUUUUUUGUUCCACUAUGUUGCAAAAUAGAUCAAAUCAAUUUUCUUUGCUCUUGCAGUUUAGUUGUCAAUUUGACAGAUACAUGUCUCAAUUCAAGUUCCCUUAUAUGUGGAGCUCUCAUUUGAAUUGUCAAAAUAUUGUGGAUUCUGUUUGGAACACUCUGGUUGUAGGUUGCCCCAUGUUUGUGUUGACUA
Molecule: long non-coding RNA, 309 nt
Filed under: Lathyrus oleraceus (garden pea)
Lineage: Eukaryota; Viridiplantae; Streptophyta; Magnoliopsida; Fabales; Fabaceae
Description: Pisum sativum (pea) long non-coding RNA (PSAT_LNC004519)
Source: RNAcentral